UACGGGGGGUGCAAGCGUUGUCCGGAUUUAUUGGGUUUAAAGGGUGCGUAGGCGGUCUAGUAAGUCCGGGGUGAAAUCGAGUCGCUUAACGAUUCAAGGGCCCUGGAUACUGUUGGACUAGAAUCAGGAUGAGGUGGGCGGAAUGUAUCAAGUAGCGGUGAAAUGCAUAGAUAUGAUACAGAACUCCGAUUGCGCAGGCAGCUCACUGGGCCUGGAUUGACGCUGAGGCACGAAAGCGUGGGGAGCAAACAGG
This 253-nucleotide ribosomal RNA is filed under the name uncultured bacterium. Its description in RNAcentral is "partial 16S ribosomal RNA". It matches the Rfam family "Bacterial small subunit ribosomal RNA", at positions 524 to 776 of the family's 1533-position model. The record is from RNAcentral.